This 402-nucleotide ribosomal RNA is filed under the name Bacteroidota bacterium. RNAcentral describes it as "Bacteroidetes bacterium partial 16S ribosomal RNA". It matches the Rfam family "Bacterial small subunit ribosomal RNA", at positions 355 to 776 of the family's 1533-position model. Lineage: Bacteria; Pseudomonadati; Bacteroidota. The record is from RNAcentral.
UGGGGAAUUUUGCACAAUGGGGGAAACCCUGAUGCAGCGACGCCGCGUGAUUUAGAAGGCCUUCGGGUUGUAAAAAUCUUUUUUACGGGAUGAAAAUGACAGUACCGUAAGAAUAAGGUCCGGCUAAAUACGUGCCAGCAGCCGCGGUAAUACGUAUGGACCGAGCGUUGUCCGGAAUCAUUGGGCGUAAAGGGUACGUAGUCGGCCUAGUAAGUUAGAAGUUAAAGAAUAUAGCUCAACUAUAUAAAGCUUUUAAAACUGCUAGGCUUGAGAGAUGGAAGGGAAAGUGGAAUUCCUAGUGUAGCGGUGAAAUGCGCAGAUAUUAGGAAGAAUACCGGUGGCGAAGGCGACUUUCUGGUCAUCAUCUGACGCUGAGGUACGAAAGCGUGGGUAGCAAACAGG